RNAcentral lists this ribosomal RNA (565 nucleotides) under uncultured bacterium. RNAcentral's name for it is "bacterial SSU rRNA". It matches the Rfam family "Bacterial small subunit ribosomal RNA", at positions 338 to 916 of the family's 1533-position model. The record is from RNAcentral.
CCUACGGGAGGCAGCAGUGGGGAAUCUUGCGCAAUGGGCGAAAGCCUGACGCAGCAGCGCCGCGUGCGGGAUGACGGCCUUCGUGGUUGUAAACCGCUUUCAGCAGGGACGAAAAUGACGGUACCUGCAGAAGAAGCCCCGGCUAACUACGUGCCAGCAGCCGCGGUAAUACGUAGGGGGCAAGCGUUGUCCGGAUUCAUUGGGCGUAAAGAGCUCGUAGGCGGUUCAGUAAGUCGGGUGUGAAAGCUCCGAGCUCAACUCGGAGAGGCCACCCGAUACUGCUGUGACUUGAGUCCAGUAGAGGAGCGUGGAACUCCUGGUGUAGCGGUGGAAUGCGCAGAUAUCAGGAAGAACACCUGCAGCGAAGGCGGCGCUCUGGGCUGGAACUGACGCUGAGGAGCGAAAGCGUGGGUAGCAAACAGGAUUAGAUACCCUGGUAGUCCACGCCGUAAACGUUGGGCACUAGGUGUGGGGAGCCGUCAACGCUCUCUGUGCCGUAGCUAACGCAUUAAGUGCCCCGCCUGGGGAGUACGGCCGCAAGGCUAAAACUCAAAUGAAUUGACGG